RNAcentral lists this transfer RNA (74 nucleotides) under Microbacterium phage Cece. RNAcentral describes it as "tRNA-Thr". It matches the Rfam family "tRNA". From Rfam's summary of the family: Transfer RNA (tRNA) molecules are approximately 80 nucleotides in length. Their secondary structure includes four short double-helical elements and three loops (D, anti-codon, and T loops). The record is from RNAcentral. Lineage: Duplodnaviria; Heunggongvirae; Uroviricota; Caudoviricetes.
GCCCUCAUGGUGACAAUGGCUAGCACACGUCCUUGGUACGGACGAGGUUCCAGUUCGAUUCUGGAUGGGGGCAC